Molecule: ribosomal RNA, 892 nt
Filed under: uncultured bacterium
Lineage: Bacteria
Description: bacterial SSU rRNA
Rfam family: Bacterial small subunit ribosomal RNA
Source: RNAcentral
GUGCCAGCAGCCGCGGUAAUACGUAGGUGGCAAGCGUUGUCCGGAUUUAUUGGGCGUAAAGCGAGCGCAGGCGGUUUCUUAAGUCUGAUGUGAAAGCCUUCGGCUCAACCGAAGAAGUGCAUCGGAAACUGGGAAACUUGAGUGCAGAAGAGGACAGUGGAACUCCAUGUGUAGCGGUGAAAUGCGUAGAUAUAUGGAAGAACACCAGUGGCGAAGGCGGCUGUCUGGUCUGUAACUGACGCUGUGGCUCGAAAGCAUGGGUAGCAAACAGGAUUAGAUACCCUGGUAGUCCAUGCCGUAAACGAUGAGUGCUAGGUGUUGGAGGGUUUCCGCCCUUCAGUGCCGCAGCUAACGCAUUAAGCACUCCGCCUGGGGAGUACGACCGCAAGGUUGAAACUCAAAGGAAUUGACGGGGGCCCCCACAAGCGGUGGAGCAUGUGGUUUAAUUCGAAGCAACGCGAAGAACCUUACCAGGUCUUGACAUCCUUUGACCACUCUAGAGAUAGAGCUUUCCCUUCGGGGACAAAGUGACAGGUGGUGCAUGGUUGUCGUCAGCUCGUGUCGUGAGAUGUUGGGUUAAGUCCCGCAACGAGCGCAACCCUUAUUACUAGUUGCCAGCAUUUAGUUGGGCACUCUAGUGAGACUGCCGGUGACAAACCGGAGGAAGGUGGGGACGACGUCAAAUCAUCAUGCCCCUUAUGACCUGGGCUACACACGUGCUACAAUGGAUGGUACAACGAGUCGCGAGACCGCGAGGUUUAGCUAAUCUCUUAAAACCAUUCUCAGUUCGGAUUGUAGGCUGCAACUCGCCUACAUGAAGCCGGAAUCGCUAGUAAUCGCGGAUCAGCAUGCCGCGGUGAAUACGUUCCCGGGCCUUGUACACACCGCCCGU